Long non-coding RNA from Sardina pilchardus (European sardine), 209 nucleotides. RefSeq lists it as uncharacterized. Lineage: Eukaryota; Metazoa; Chordata; Actinopteri; Clupeiformes; Clupeidae. The transcript is spliced from 3 exons. The record is from RefSeq and is a predicted model, not a curated record.
UUUUUCUUACUGUGCUUUGAAGAACACUCCUGUUCUCUUGUGCACCUUUGGGUCAACUGAUAGAUCAAGACGUCAACAGUCUUUGGUUUGGCUUGAACUGUGACAAACAUGUCAGAGAAGCCUUGGAGCUGUAGGAGAGAACAGGACAAAGAGGAUAGCUUUUCACAGAAAUGUCCUCGAUUCGAGAUGUGAAACUGAGGUGCUUCACA